UCUCCGUUGGUGAACCAGCGGAGGGAUCAUUACCGAGUUAUCAACUCCCAAACCCCUGUGAACAUACCCUACGUCGCUUCGGCGGGACCGCCCCGGCGCCCUCGGCGUCCCGGAACCAGGCGCCCGCCGGAGGACCCAAACUCUUGUUUAAACCAUAGUGGCAUAUUCUGAGUCUCACAAGAAAAAUGAAUCAAAACUUUCAACAACGGAUCUCUUGGCUCUGGCAUCGAUGAAGAGCGCAGC
This 243-nucleotide unclassified non-coding RNA is filed under the name plant metagenome. RNAcentral describes it as "partial contains small subunit ribosomal RNA, internal transcribed spacer 1, and 5.8S ribosomal RNA". The stretch from base 195 to 243 matches the Rfam family "5.8S ribosomal RNA", at positions 1 to 49 of the family's 154-position model. The record is from RNAcentral.